GAUACGGGGAGGAUAUGGGGUGGGAUGUGGGGUAGGACAUGGGGAUGAAUAUGGGAUAGGAUAUGGGGAUGGCAUGGGAGGACAUGGGGAUGGAUAUGGGGUGGGAUAUGGGGAUGGAUAUGGGGAGGACAUGGGGAGGAUAUAGGGAUGGAUAUGGGGCAGGAUGUGGGGACGGAUAUGGGGUGGGACAUGGGGAUGGAGAUGGGCUAGGAUGUGGGGAUGGAGGUGGAGAUGGAGAUGGAGAUGGGAAGGAUAGGGGAUGGAUAUGGGGAGGACACGGGGAUGGAUAUGGGGUGGGAUAUGGGGUAGGAUAUGGGGAUGGAUGGGGGUAGGAUAUGGGGAUGGAUAUGGGAUAGGAUAUGGGGAUGGAUAUGGGGAGGACAUGGGGUAGGACAUGGGGAAGAUAUAGGGAUGGAUAUGGGGUGGGAUAUGGGGUAGGACAUGGAGAGGACAUGGAGACGGAUAUGGGAUGCACAUGGAUAUGGGGAGAACAUGGGGUAGAACAUGGGGAGGACAUGGGGAGGAUAUGGGGAUGGAUAUGGGGAUGAAUAUGGGGCAGGACAUAGGGUAGGACAUGGGGAUGGAUAUGGGACAGGAUAUGGGGUAGGACGUGGACGUGGGGUGGGACAUGGGGAUGGACAUGGGGGAGGACAUGAAGGUGGGCAUGGAAUAGAACGGGGCAGGACAUGGGGAGGACGCGGGGUGGGACAUGGAGCUGGACAAGGGGAGGGCAUGAGGAUGGACGUGGGAUUGAGUGGGGCUGGAUGUGGGGUCGGACAGGUGUGGAGGUGGAGAGGACGUGGGGAGGGCAUGGGGCAGGACGUGGAGGUGGGGAGGGAAAGGAGAUGGACGUGGGGAGGACGUGGAGGUGGAUACAGGAAGGACAUGGAGAUGGGGAGGGACGUGGGGAGGACGUGGUGAUGGGAAAGGACGUGGAGAUGGACGUGGAGAUGGAAGGGAAAUGGAGAUAAACAUGGGGAGGACAUGGAGAUGGACGUGGAGGUGAGGAGGAAAAGGAGAUGGAGAUGGGGAGGAUGUGGAGAUGGAUACAGGAAGGACAUGGAGAUGGAGAAGGACAUGGAGAUGGGGAGGACAUGGGGAUGGACAUGGAGAGAAUGUGGUGAUGGGAAAGGAUGUGGAG
This 1141-nucleotide long non-coding RNA is filed under the name Phasianus colchicus (ring-necked pheasant). Its description in RNAcentral is "lncRNA (ENSPCLG00000011204.1)". Lineage: Eukaryota; Metazoa; Chordata; Aves; Galliformes; Phasianidae. The record is from RNAcentral.